Cuculus canorus (common cuckoo) is the source of this 4300-nucleotide long non-coding RNA. RefSeq lists it as uncharacterized. The transcript is spliced from 7 exons. The record is from RefSeq and is a predicted model, not a curated record. Lineage: Eukaryota; Metazoa; Chordata; Aves; Cuculiformes; Cuculidae.
UCCCAAGGGGCUGUUGGUGACACUGGAGAUGUGAAAACUUGCUGGCUUUUCCCUGUUGUCCUAUAGCCCGGGUGGGGUAGGGAUGCAGCAAGGUCUCUGCCAUCCCACUGGGAUACCUGAGCCACUCAGGCUGCGUGCGCUUCCAAGGGAUCCAGCGUGCAGCGGCAGUUGGACUUGAUCUAAGAGGUCUUUUCCAACCUAGUGAUUCUAUGAUUCUUCAUUUGACAUCAUGAAGCUUGCUCCGAGUGCCCCCAAAAGCUGCAGGAAAGGGUUAGGAGUAAAAGGCAAUACAGCAAGCCAUCAGGCUGCCAGCCUCAUGGCUUUUCAUUCAUGCACCGGAGCUGAGGAUGGGAAUCCAAGGGUGGUGCAUUAGGUUUUGCACAGGAUGCUUUUGCGCACAGGCUGCAGCCCCGGCUGGGCUGGAGCAGCCCGGUCAGGAUUGCAUGGAGUAGCUGUUCACUAAGGCAAAGCAGGGACAAAUCCUGGCCCUCUUAUGUCUCUUUGCAGCAUCAUUGGAAAUGUUUUUAGGAGUCACCUCUGUGCAGGGUUUGUCAGUGCAAGCUGUCAAGCGGUGCUGCCACAUCCCGGGCAGGGAGCUCUUGGUGGCAGAGAUGCACUGGUGCCUGCAGAGCUCUGAUGAUGCCAAGAGACACCCAUGGGAAGAUCCGUGCAAGGACAUUCCCAUCUUGCUGAAAAUCACACAGAUUGCCUUAUGCCCUGAGGUCUGCAGCUCGCUUCGUGUGGCUUCUGGAUUUUUAUGGCGCUCUGUCUGUCUUGAACUGUCUGGAUGUUACUGGUUGCAUUGUGGGUGUGAGUUGAGGGCGUUUCUCCUUUCCUGCUCUGUGCCGCCAGCAGAAGGGGUUUGAGAUGCAUGGAUCUGGGAGCUCGGGGCAGAAUGGGUUUGCAGGAGGAGGCUGCUUGGCUGCAGUGCUAUGAAAACACCAUCCUCUGCCACCCGAGCCGUGCUGGUGGGGCUCUCAGCAUCCCCUCUGUGUGGAUGUGGGGUCUCCAAUUGCAGCCCCUACCUCAACAAUGCCUUUUCCAUGUUUUCUUCCCAUGCAGGAACCUUCUGCAGGGCUGACAGGCAGGUGUUUCUCCUUUCCCGAGACAUCAUGACUUUGUCUGCAAUCAGUGGUGUUCUGGCAGAAGCCACCUGUAUUGCUUCUGCAUCAUAGCAGCUGCCUCAGGAGACUGAUUUUGCUGCUGACCACAGUGCAAAUCACUUCUCUGACAGCUUUCCCUCUGCCAUCAAACCCUCCUGCUCCUUCUGCACCAUCUUGGUGAGGUUUUUAAGCGGGAUUUGUCCUCGUUCCCUUCCUCCGUUAAAUCUCAGGACCACCUAAAGGUGUGUGGUGGUGCCCAGGACAAGCCUGGCUGCACCCUGGAACCCUCCUCCCCACCAAACACCAGCCCACGGUGUCCAAAGAGAGGACGCGAGCUGCUGCCGUGCACGCAGACAAGCCUCAACUCCACAUUCCCUAAUAAAUUAAUCCACUUAUCUCCCCGUGAGCUGAUGCAAAACUGCAAAUAGACACCAGAGUGGGGUUUUCUCCCCCCUCUGAGCAGCCCCCAGCCUUUUGCUGCCUGCCUGGCUCCAUCCCGCUGUUUAUUCCCUAUAGAAAUGAGAAUUCCAGUUUAUCACGUCUGCCUGGCGGGCAGCAAGCCGCCAAGUGAGCGAGAAGGAGCCUGCAGCCGCUAGCCGGAGCGAGCUAGGAGAAAGCGCUAGGUAAUAGAGGUAUUUAUUAAAGGAGGGAGGAAAUUUAUAUGCUAUUCCUGCUUCCUCAGCUCUCAGUCAUCGCCAAGGGGAGAGGAGGAGUGGGCAGCUUGCGCAGGAAAUAGCCAGAAGUCUGUUUUCUGCCCAUUUGUCAGUCUGAUGAACAAGAAAAAUAGAGGCGGUUUUGAUGAAGGUGAAAGAGAGAGUCUGGAGGAGGCUGUUAUCCAGCUACAUGAAAGAAGCUGGCUUUUUGCUGACACUUUCUUGCUGGGAAUUGACUGCUGCCUGAAUCAUCCAUCCAGGGCCAUUUGUUCAUAAAAAGCUGCUGGCGUGGCUGGACGAUGCUUUUCCUUUGGCAGAGACAAAUAGACAGAGCCAGACCCUCCGGCAUCCCGGCUGCUGCUUCUGCACUCGGAUGUGAUAAAUACAUCCCAGGAGAAAGCGCAGAAAGCAAUGGCCCAGCCUGAAGAGGGGUCAGCCCUGGGGCAGGAGGAGUUCUGUAUGACGUGGGACCCAUCGCAGUCCUUGCAGCCUCACCUGUCCACGCUCAUCCCUGUUUUUCGAGGCAGGAGCUGGGUUUGUGCCCUGUAGUUGCAGCCACCGUGGGGCGAAAACCAAAGAAAUGGCCCCUUGCGGAGCUCUCCUGCCUCAUCCCUGUGGAUGUCUCCAAAUUAAGGACGUUAUUAACUACAAGCUGCUUUUCCCUUGACUGCUGCUUGCACAAACGAUAACUGAUUUAAAAUGAAUUGAGCCAAUUACUGCAGUUUUCCUAAAACAGAUGAUGGCAAUACUUGGGUAAGGAGGAGCAAUCCCAGCUGCAGCAGGGAGAAGAGUUAGACACUCAAAUACCCUUUGGGCUCAGAUUUCCAGCUGUUUCCUGGCAAAGGCUGGCUGCUUCCCUCAAUUGUAUGGGAAUUUAGGUGGUAGCAGCCAGGGAUGCUGAGCAACCUCAGGUCAGCGGUGCUGCUGGAGGUGAUGGAACCUGUGCUGUGUGCGGUUAUCUGCGGUGAGUGAGUGAUGCUGGGAUGAUCCUGGCUGCCUGUGAACUAACAGUGCCUGAAAAUACCGAUGUAUUUCUGGAAAAGUGGAAGGCAAUAACUCCUGGAUGAUUCUUUCAAAGAUCCGAUCCACAUCUGAAAUUCAUCAAACUUUAAAGAACAAAUAAUUGUCACUGGAUGUCUUGUCCUUGGAGUAUGAGGAGCUUUAAUGAAAAGGAAGCAUAAUGAAGAUGGAUUAAAGCUUAAUCGGGUGAAAAUGAGUUAAAGAAUCCUGAAAUCGGGUUCCCAUUUGUCUGCCUUUCCAUGUCAUGAGAAAUAUUGAUUUCCUUCUGCAAGCAGCGGUGACAUCAUGCCAUGGUCCCAGUGGAGAGGGAUUCCAGAAGAGACGUGCCAUUGCUUUCUGGGAUGAGGAGAGGCUGAGCGCUGUGCUGCUGCUUAGCCAGCUCGGCUUGCUGCAUGGUCUGAGCCCUCGACGUGCGGACACCACAGGCUGAGCCAAAGAAGAGGUUGGCUUUGCCCUGGAAUAAAGCAGCUCCUCCUUUGCACGGUGGAUGACUUCAAGCUGUCUGCACCUCUGAGCAUCUCUCGACCAGCUGUGCUCAGGAUCCUAUCUGGACAACAACCACCUCGAGAUGGCUCCUUGCAGCAGGGCGGAUGCACCAAGGAGCAUCAUCGCAUGACACCAAGAAGCGAGCAGCCCUCACCUGUAACUGCAGCAUUUAAAGCGAGGAGGGGAUACACAUCCGGGCACCGCGCUCUGUGUUGGGAUGUGCUGUUCUCGAAGGUAAUAUAUCGUACUCAAAAGUCUAAGGGGUGAGGUGAGCAAAGCCGAGGAGGCUUCCUUCGCAGGUGGCACGCUCAAUCCCUCACUAUAAAAAAGCCUCCACUGCUCCUCUGCUUCUCCCUUGCUUCAAAGAACAAAAGGAAAUGGGUUUGUUGCUUUGUAGGCGAAGGAAAGGAGACUCCUGAGACCUGGGGAGAACGGGCUAUGAAUUAUUCAGGGUAGCUGUCGGCGCAGGAAUGGUGCCAAGAGCUGCUCCUGCCGUGACUCCAGUAGCGGAUGGAUGCAGGAGGAUGCCUGGAGAGCAGGGGCUGAGGGCAGCAUCCUUCCCCCCUGCCACGGGCACGGCUGUGCUGGUGGUUUGGAGGAAAAGAUGUUUUCUAUUCCGCAAUCCCCACCCCAGGGGCAAACCUUGGGCUUUCCCACUACUUUUGGUUGUUUUGGACCAAAAGAGGAGGAAAAAUACCUGAGAGAAGGGUUCUCCGUGUGCUGAACGAGGAGGAUGGUGAAGAGGGAAGAGCUCCCGGCAGCAAAUGCGCUCAGGAUUGCACUCCAGACAGUUCAGUAACAAAUUCACUGACACAGGGAACAAUUUUUCCCUGACUCUGCCAAUUCCUUAACGACGCUGACUCGAAUGGUCCUGUGGGGAGGGGAACUUGAACUCUGCAAAACGCUCUCUGCUGAAGCUUUAUUUAAGGCUACGUGGAGGGAUGCUUAAAUAUUAAAGGCCAAAAUAAAAAGGGCUGUGGUACAAGCGGUGGCACCGGCUGCUCUGUCUGUGUCUCUUUUUACUUCUAAAUGCCUUUG